CUACUGCACAUUCCCUUCUGCCAUCCCUAUUAUAUGUUUAUUUCUAUAAUUCCAGGAAAAAGAAAGUGCUAGAUUCUCCAGCAUGAAAAGUUUUGAAACAAAUGGAUUUACACACAAUGGUGCUGUACCAUGACAUUUCUUGUGUUUUAGCACUUGUCUCAUUUCUACUUGACUACAUGAAAGUGAAUGUGCACGCCCUCUUGCAUAUGCUUCAGAGCAAAGCAAGUAUUUACAGCUACAGCAGAAUGCUGGUGAUGAAGUCAUUCUUAUCACAAUCAAAAGAUAACUUGAACAGUAGGAAUAUCUCCAUCUCUUGAGGUUCAGCUGUCUCUAAAUCACCUCCAGAAGGUUCUAUGAAUCUUUC
This 364-nucleotide long non-coding RNA is filed under the name Zonotrichia albicollis (white-throated sparrow). RNAcentral describes it as "lncRNA (ENSZALG00000008926.1)". The record is from RNAcentral. Lineage: Eukaryota; Metazoa; Chordata; Aves; Passeriformes; Passerellidae.